UAAGCAGAUCAGUCUUAUCGCUAUUUUGUGUAUGCAAAGUAGAGGAAAGUCCGGACACCACAGAGUAAGCAUAGCGGAUAACAUCCGUCCAGUGUAAACUGAGGACAAGUGCAACAGAAAGAAUGUACAGGUAAUGCUGUAGUGAAAUCAGGUAAACUCUAUGCGGUGCAAUGCCACGUAUAUUAGAGCUCGAGUGCUACUCGCACGAUUCUAAGGGGUAGGCAGAUUGAUUCUAAUAGUAAUAUUAGAACUAGAUAAAUGAUAAGAACUUUUGAAGUUACAGAAUCCGGCUUAUUGGUCUGCUUUUCUU
Molecule: RNase P RNA, 310 nt
Filed under: Tenacibaculum sp. M341
Lineage: Bacteria; Pseudomonadati; Bacteroidota; Flavobacteriia; Flavobacteriales; Flavobacteriaceae
Description: RNase P RNA component class A
Rfam family: Bacterial RNase P class A
About the family: Ribonuclease P (RNase P) is a ubiquitous endoribonuclease, found in archaea, bacteria and eukarya as well as chloroplasts and mitochondria. Its best characterised activity is the generation of mature 5'-ends of tRNAs by cleaving the 5'-leader elements of precursor-tRNAs.
Source: RNAcentral